GUUUUCAAUAACCUAUCUAUCCCUAGUUUCGGUUACUAAAGAUAGACAAAUCUAUAUUUUUGUCCUUACUUACGUUCCAAUAACCUAUCGACGGGCAGCAGUUCCUAUCGGAUUUAUCUAUCCAUCGUCGGGAGGACGGAUAGCCUGCUAAAGAUAGAACGCUCAUACAAAUCGUGCUUACUUCCGUUUCAAUAUGAGUUUUAAGUAACUCUCCGGUAGGCGGCGCUAUCUCUAGUAUGGGCAUUCGCUUAUCUGUCAAAAUCGGCCGGUUACAUGUUUAUCUUUCGAAAGUAAAUCGCUAUAAUUUAAUAAUUGUUUCUCUUCAUAUUGGCAUAUUGUAGCAGUGAUGAUAGUGAUAUGGAAUUAUUUCAAAUGAUAAUGGAUUGUGAUGCAGAUAGUGAUAGUGAGGCCGAUAUCAUAUGGUUAGGAAAAUAAAGAUCGUCUGAAUUACAUGGCGAAGAUCAAUAAUUACGAAUUUGACUAUAGAUUUCUGAGCAAAGGUGUUGUGAAUGAAUUGAUUAAUUUAAUGAGACCAUAUUUGAGUGUAACGUCAAAAAGAUUCAAAUAUAGGAGAGCAAUUUAGAAAUAGAAAAAGAGUAUUUUGAAUGUGUAAUUUGUGUGCAAUGCAUCAUUGAUGUUUCAAAAUGUUGUUGCUUGAAGGCCUGGGUCUACUCAUGAUACAACUAUAAUUAACCAUUCCGAUUGAAAAGAUGUAUUGGUGUUUGUAAAAGAAGACUCCCUGUAUAUCAUUGAAAAGUAGAUUAAAACUAGAAAAUAUGCAAGCUGUUAUUAUAGCUGCCAUGCUGCAUAAUAUCGUCAGAAGUAUGAAUUUAGAAGAAUUAGAAUCAGAAAUUUCAGUCGCAGAUACAUUACAGGAAAAUAAUAUAAUUGUUCGUAACAAUUUUUCAAAACCUACAUCUGAAAUACAACUAUGUACUUAUAAAUAAUUGCUUCCAAAGAUAAUUUAUAAAAUAAACUCCAAAGAUAA
Molecule: long non-coding RNA, 988 nt
Organism: Bombyx mori (domestic silkworm)
Lineage: Eukaryota; Metazoa; Arthropoda; Insecta; Lepidoptera; Bombycidae
Exons: 3
Source: RefSeq, a predicted model, not a curated record